GGCGCACGGGUGCGGAACACGUGUGCAACCUGCCUUUAUCUGGGGGAUAGCCUUUCGAAAGGAAGAUUAAUACCCCAUAAUAUAUUGAGUGGCAUCACUUGAUAUUGAAAACUCCGGUGGAUAGAGAUGGGCACGCGCAAGAUUAGAUAGUUGGUGAGGUAACGGCUCACCAAGUCAAUGAUCUUUAGGGGGCCUGAGAGGGUGAUCCCCCACACUGGUACUGAGACACGGACCAGACUCCUACGGGAGGCAGCAGUGAGGAAUAUUGGACAAUGGGUGAGAGCCUGAUCCAGCCAUCCCGCGUGAAGGACGACUGCCCUAUGGGUUGUAAACUUCUUUUAUACUGGGAUAAACCUACCCUCGUGAGGGUAGCUGAAGGUACAGUAUGAAUAAGCACCGGCUAACUCCGUGCCAGCAGCCGCGGUAAUACGGAGGGUGCAAGCGUUAUCCGGAUUUAUUGGGUUUAAAGGGUCCGUAGGCGGACUCGUAAGUCAGUGGUGAAAUCUCAUAGCUUAACUAUGAAACUGCCAUUGAUACUGCGGGUCUUGAGUAAAGUAGAAGUGGCUGGAAUAAGUAGUGUAGCGGUGAAAUGCAUAGAUAUUACUUAGAACACCAAUUGCGAAGGCAGGUCACUAUGUUUUAACUGACGCUGAUGGACGAAAGCGUGGGGAGCGAACAGGAUUAGAUACCCUGGUAGUCCACGCCGUAAACGAUGCUAACUCGUUUUUGGGUUUUCGGAUUCAGAGACUAAGCGAAAGUGAUAAGUUAGCCACCUGGGGAGUACGUUCGCAAGAAUGAAACUCAAAGGAAUUGACGGGGGCCCGCACAAGCGGUGGAUUAUGUGGUUUAAUUCGAUGAUACGCGAGGAACCUUACCAAGGCUUAAAUGGGAAUUGACAGGUUUAGAAAUAGAUCCUUCUUCGGACAAUUUUCAAGGUGCUGCAUGGUUGUCGUCAGCUCGUGCCGUGAGGUGUUAGGUUAAGUCCUGCAACGAGCGCAACCCCUGUCACUAGUUGCCAUCAUUCAGUUGGGGACUCUAGUGAGACUGCCUACGCAAGUAGAGAGGAAGGUGGGGAUGACGUCAAAUCAUCACGGCCCUUACGCCUUGGGCCACACACGUAAUACAAUGGCCGGUACAGAGGGCAGCUACUAUGCGAAUAGAUGCGAAUCUCGAAAGCCGGUCUCAGUUCGGAUUGGAGUCUGCA
Molecule: ribosomal RNA, 1204 nt
Filed under: Chryseobacterium aquaticum
Lineage: Bacteria; Pseudomonadati; Bacteroidota; Flavobacteriia; Flavobacteriales; Weeksellaceae
Description: bacterial SSU rRNA
Rfam family: Bacterial small subunit ribosomal RNA
Source: RNAcentral